This 402-nucleotide ribosomal RNA is filed under the name bacterium. Its description in RNAcentral is "partial 16S ribosomal RNA". It matches the Rfam family "Bacterial small subunit ribosomal RNA", at positions 355 to 776 of the family's 1533-position model. The record is from RNAcentral.
UGGGGAAUUUUGCACAAUGGGGGAAACCCUGAUGCAGCGACGCCGCGUGAUUUAGAAGGCCUUCGGGUUGUAAAAAUCUUUUCUAUGGGAAGAAAAUGACAGUACCAUAGGAAUAAGGACCGGCUAAUUACGUGCCAGCAGCCGCGGUAAUACGUAAGGUCCGAGCGUUGUCCGGAAUCAUUGGGCGUAAAGGGUACGUAGGCGGGUAAGCAAGUUAGAAGUGAAAUCCUAUAGCUCAACUAUAGUAAGCUUUUAAAACUGCUCAUCUUGAAGUAUGGAAGAGAAAGUGGAAUUCCUAGUGUAGCGGUGAAAUGCGCAGAUAUUAGGAGGAAUACCGGUGGCGAAGGCGACUUUCUGGCCAUAACCUGACGCUGAGGUACGAAAGCGUGGGUAGCAAACAGG